ACUCAACACUAUUAUAAUUAGAAAGGGUGAGUUUAGGUUGUAAAAGCAGGCCCUACUUGUAUAGGGAUCCUUGAUCAGUCUGUUAGCCCUAAACCUGUAAUUAGGAGUUU
Molecule: small RNA, 110 nt
Filed under: Allomuricauda sp. F6463D
Lineage: Bacteria; Pseudomonadati; Bacteroidota; Flavobacteriia; Flavobacteriales; Flavobacteriaceae
Description: Muricauda sp. F6463D 6S RNA
Rfam family: 6S-Flavo RNA
Source: RNAcentral